AUUUUUAAGUUUGAUUCUUGCUUAUAAUUUUUAUAUUAUGAUUAAAAAAUACAUGAAAAUUAUAGUGUUCCUUAUAUUAAAAAUUAAAAAUUAUAUAAUAUAAAUCUCAGUAUUUAAUUUUAAAUAUUAAUUAAAAUUAGAAUUGGUAAUCAUUUUAAUCCUGACUAAAAUUUGUGCCAGCAGUCGCGGUUAUACUUAAAGGGUAAAUAAAUACAAUUUGGUAUUUAUAGUAAAUUAUUAGUUAAAUAAAAUUUAUUAUUUUUUUUAAAGGGUAAAAUCGGAAUUUAAUUAUAAUAAUAAUUUUAAAAAAAAACACAAAUAAACUAUAAAUUUUAAUAUAUAAACUAGGAUUAGAUCC
This 358-nucleotide ribosomal RNA is filed under the name Lithodes santolla. Its description in RNAcentral is "partial 12S ribosomal RNA". Lineage: Eukaryota; Metazoa; Arthropoda; Malacostraca; Decapoda; Lithodidae. The record is from RNAcentral.